GUAUUUGAUUUUAUUUAUCAAAAAAAUUCAGGCAAAAUUGAAGCGAGUUUAAGGAAAAAAGUCCCCCGGCUUGCGCCCGAGGCCUUCCUUCGUUCAAUGAGUGCACAUAAGGAUGAAUCGUGGUUCUGCCGAACCGCCAAAAAGGCGAACGACAGUUAACCUUGUAAUGAUCCUUCCGCAGGUUCACCUACGGAAA
Molecule: unclassified non-coding RNA, 196 nt
Filed under: uncultured fungus
Lineage: Eukaryota; Fungi
Description: sequence contains ITS1
Source: RNAcentral